RNAcentral lists this unclassified non-coding RNA (949 nucleotides) under Hevea brasiliensis (rubber tree). The record is from RNAcentral. Lineage: Eukaryota; Viridiplantae; Streptophyta; Magnoliopsida; Malpighiales; Euphorbiaceae.
CUCUACUGAAAAAAAAUCCAUGGAGUAUCCAACAUUAGACAUAAAUGUUGUCUCCGGAAAAGAUCUCAACAAGGUCAAUCUCAUCACAAAAAUGGAUGUAUACGUCGUCGUUUCAAUCUCCGGCGCCGAUGACGACAGAUCUAAUCAGAAAACCAAAACCCACGUUGAUCAUGACGGUGACAAUAACCCUACCUGGAAUUUCCCCAUCAAAUUCACCAUAGAUGAUAGCCCUGCUGUUCAAAACCGUUUGCAUCUUGUUUUCAAGCUUCGAUGUCAAAGGGCGCUUGGAGAUAAAGAUAUUGGACAAGUUGAGGUACCCAUCAAAGAGCUUCUCGAAUCUUCCAAUACCACUAAACAAUUUGUAAGUUAUCAAAUCAGAAAACCUUCCGGUAAACCCAAAGGUCAACUCACUUUUUCCUAUCAAUUUAGUGAUAAGAUCACCGGUAAUACUGUCGUUGAUUCUAAAAUUGAAAACCCCGUUACUGCUUAUCCGGCGGCAAAUCCAACCCCGAUGGUGGGAUCCACUUCUGUGUACCCACCAAUACCGCCGCCGCAGCAAGGUCCAAGUGGGCUAUACCCACCGCCUCCGAUCUACGCUUCUGGUGGGAGUGGUCCUGCUCCUCCACCGCCGGUGGCAUAUCCACCAUCUGCAACGGCAGGUUAUCCACCGCAACCGAUGGGUUAUCCACCAGUUGCAGCGGGAGGAUAUGGAUAUGGAUAUCCACCGGUGGCGGCAUAUACUCCGCCACCGCAGUAUGGAUAUCCACCUCAUCAAGGUGGACAUGGAUAUGGGUAUCCACAGGUGCAACGGCCGCCGAAGAAGAAUAAUAAUAACAUGGCGUUAGGAUUAGGGGCGGGUUUGCUUGGUGGAGCACUUGGAGGAAUGAUAAUCGGAGAUGCAAUAUCAGAUGUUGGAGGAGGUUUUGAUGGUGGAUUUGGUGAUGUUGGG